Molecule: ribosomal RNA, 1552 nt
Filed under: marine sediment metagenome
Description: bacterial SSU rRNA
Rfam family: Bacterial small subunit ribosomal RNA
Source: RNAcentral
AGAGUUUGAUCCUGGCUCAGGAUGAACGCUGGCGGCGUGCUUAACACAUGCAAGUCGAACGAGCCGAAUAACUUUGCGCAAAGUUAAAACAAUGUUUUAAUUUUGCGCAAGGCUAGGAAGCUAGUGGCGGACGGGUGAGUAACGCGUGAAUAAUCUACCCUAAACAGGGGGACAACAGGUGGAAACGCCUGCUAAUACCGCAUAAGCCCACACUAACAACGGUUAGAGGGGGAAAAGGAUACAAUUGUAUUCGGUUUAGGAUGAGUUUGCGUAUCAUUAGCUAGUUGGCGGGGUAAGAGCCCACCAAGGCAACGAUGAUUAGCCGACCUGAGAGGGUGAUCGGCCACACUGGAACUGAGAACGGUCCAGACUCCUACGGGAGGCAGCAGUGGGGAAUAUUGGGCAAUGGGCGAAAGCCUGACCCAGCAACGCCGCGUGAAGGAAGAAGGUCUUCGGAUUGUAAACUUCUGUUAUGGGGGAAAAAUAAAAUGAUGGUACCCCAUCAGAAAGCCACGGCUAACUACGUGCCAGCAGCCGCGGUAAUACGUAGGUGGCAAGCGUUAUCCGGAAUGACUGGGUGUAAAGGGAGUGUAGGUGGCAAGGUAAGUUAGAUGUGAAAGCCCAGGGCUCAACCCUGGAACUGCAUUUAAUACUGCCUAGCUAGAGUGCAGGAGAGGUAGAUGGAAUUCCUAGUGUAGCGGUAGAAUGCGUAGAUAUUAGGAGGAACACCAGAGGCGAAGGCGAUCUACUGGACUGUAACUGACACUGAAACUCGAAAGCGUGGGUAGCAAACAGGAUUAGAUACCCUGGUAGUCCACGCCGUAAACGAUGAUUACUAGAUGUGGGGAGUAUCGACUCUCUCCGUGUCGAAGCUAACGCGAUAAGUAAUCCACCUGGGGAGUACGACCGCAAGGUUGAAACUCAAAGGAAUUGACGGGGACCCGCACAAGCAGCGGAGCAUGUCGUUUAAUUCGUGGCAACGCGAAGAACCUUACCAAGGCUUGACAUUUAAUGCAUAACAUGGAAACAUGCUAAAUUAUAUAGUAAUAUAUAACAUUAGGACAGAUGGUGCAUGGUUGUCGUCAGCUCGUGUCGUGAGAUGUUGGGUUAAGUCCCGCAACGAGCGCAACCCUUGUCUUUAGUUACCAGCACAUAAUGGUGGGGACUCUAGAGAGACUGCCGUGGAUAACACGGAGGAAGGUGGGGAUGACGUCAAAUCAUCAUGCCUCUUACGCCUUGGGCUACACACGUGCUACAAUGGUCAUUACAAAGAGAUGCGAACCAGUAAUGGGGAGCCAACCUCAAAAAGAUGGCCUCACUUCGGAUUGUGGGCUGCAACCCGCCCAUAUGAAGAUGGAGUUGCUAGUAAUCCCGAAUCAGAAUGUCGGGGUGAAUGCGUUCUCGGGUCUUGUACACACCGCCCGUCACGCCAUGGGAAUUGGGAAUGCCCGAAGUCGGUGAGCUAACCUGUUUACAGGAGGCAGCUGCCUAAGGUAGAUUCAGUAACUAGGGUGAAGUCGUAACAAGGUAGCCGUAUCGGAAGGUGCGGCUG